GAGAACUUUCUCCUUCUCUCGAACAAUAUUCUCAAUAGGUUCUCCACUAAACUUUGUUACUGCUGCUAUGCCUCCAUCAACCUGCCUCAAUGUGAUUGCUUCCUCAUUCGGAGCCGGUAAACUGUUCAAACAAAUUCUUUUUAUUUAUAUACAGUAUUUGAUAGAAAACUGAGUGGUUUUAUUGGAGCUCCCUAAUUAACUCCUAAGAGACCCCCAAUUUUGACACUGGCUGUCUCCCUUGCCAAGUAGGGUUCAGCUUCAAAGGUUGUAACCUGAUGCAAUUUGGUGAACUUCACCUGCUCAAAUCUUUUUCUGAUGGCAGAACUAUCUGGAUAGACACUUUGGAUGUUUCAGCAUCAACUGCCUGAGUAAACACAGGAGUAGUCAUGGGUAUCUUUUCCUCUGCUGCGUUCUUCCCAAAAAUAUACCUGUGAGAAAAGAUUAAGGAGCUGACGGUAGGAACGAAAGCAAUUACCAAUCAAAUGAUAAACAAUGGAUUCAAACACCAAACCUCACCCAGCAACGGCAUUAAAACCACUUGAACCAGACAACUUGUCACCAUCUGUUUCGACGACUAUAAAAGGUUUGUACUUUCUCACCUGUAUUUAACGAUGGAAAGUUAGUUAUUACCCGGAGGGCUUGACAUUUAUAUCAGCAGGAUGGAAUUCCUUAGCUUCAACAAUGGGUCGGUUAGCAACAAAGGAAAUUUGAUUUUUCACGUAAGUUUUGUUUCAGAUCUGAAGAAUUAAAGCAAUGCCAGAUUUAACGGGUGCAAGUUAAGAACGCUGCUGCAUUCAGGGAAAAAACCACAGACCUCAUACGUAGCAGUUCUUUUUAGUAUCUGAUAUUUAGGCGUUUCUAACUCUGGAGUCUUGUAAAUCUGCAACUGUUAAAAUUGCAACCAUAUCAGUUACGGCUGCUUAAAAUUGGCAAUGGAAA
RNAcentral lists this long non-coding RNA (939 nucleotides) under Coffea arabica (coffee). Its description in RNAcentral is "long non-coding RNA (CARA_LNC004004)". Lineage: Eukaryota; Viridiplantae; Streptophyta; Magnoliopsida; Gentianales; Rubiaceae. The record is from RNAcentral.